CAUCGAACAAUACUAGUUCUGCAAGUGUUAUGUUAAGUGUACAAUUACACACUUAACAUAACACUUGCAGAACUAGUAUUGUUCGAUGC
Molecule: non-coding RNA, 89 nt
Organism: Paramuricea clavata
Lineage: Eukaryota; Metazoa; Cnidaria; Anthozoa; Malacalcyonacea; Plexauridae
Source: the annotation of a GenBank genome assembly